RNAcentral lists this ribosomal RNA (505 nucleotides) under uncultured bacterium. RNAcentral describes it as "partial 16S ribosomal RNA". It matches the Rfam family "Bacterial small subunit ribosomal RNA", at positions 29 to 522 of the family's 1533-position model. The record is from RNAcentral.
AGUGAACGCUGGCGGUAGGCCUAACACAUGCAAGUCGAACGGCAGCACAGAGGAGCUUGCUCCUUGGGUGGCGAGUGGCGGACGGGUGAGGAAUACAUCGGAAUCUACUCUGUCGUGGGGGAUAACGUAGGGAAACUUACGCUAAUACCGCAUACGACCUACGGGUGAAAGCAGGGGAUCUUCGGACCUUGCGCGAUUGAAUGAGCCGAUGUCGGAUUAGCUAGUUGGCGGGGUAAAGGCCCACCAAGGCGACGAUCCGUAGCUGGUCUGAGAGGAUGAUCAGCCACACUGGAACUGAGACACGGUCCAGACUCCUACGGGAGGCAGCAGUGGGGAAUACUGGACAAUGGGCGCAAGCCUGAUCCAGCCAUACCGCGUGGGUGAAGAAGGCCUUCGGGUUGUAAAGCCCUUUUGUUGGGAAAGAAAUCCAUCUGGUUAAUACCCGGGUGGGAUGACGGUACCCAAAGAAUAAGCACCGGCUAACUUCGUGCCAGCAGCCGCGUAA